GAGAAUUGAGGGAAAUGGAGUAGGGAGAGUCGGGAUGUGGGAAGGAAACCUUAGAAUUGAAGCUGAAACGUGCAUUUGCUUAGUUACUCAACAUGGUUCGAUAAGCCUCUAGCUGUGCGGAAGAACCACUUUUUGAUAUCGAGGAUCAGCUCGGAGGACUAGGGCGCCUCGGGUAUCAUAUUCUUCAUCAUCAAAGCUGAAGGAGUGAGGCAAAUGUUCUUCCCCGCCUCUGUACCAGCAUAUAUAUUAUCGAGCCCCCUGGUUCACUGAACAUCCCAAGAACAACCAUUAGCAGCAAUCCAAUGUGUCUUUCCCUCGUGAUGAGCUUUCGGGCUCCAUGUCCACUGAGAACGGGAAAAUUUUUUUUUGAAGAAGAAUGGACUUCCAUUUUGGUCUAAUUUAGGACUUGUGCAUAUCCUCUGUUCUUAGUCCAAAAGUGUGUGAAAUUGUAUAAAUUUGCUGAUUAUUUCUCGAUGUGUUUUACAUGGACUCGCGAAGCACUCUCUAUUAAUGAAUCUCGG
Non-coding RNA from Punica granatum (pomegranate), 521 nucleotides. The record is from RefSeq and is a predicted model, not a curated record. Lineage: Eukaryota; Viridiplantae; Streptophyta; Magnoliopsida; Myrtales; Lythraceae.